Molecule: ribosomal RNA, 494 nt
Filed under: uncultured bacterium
Lineage: Bacteria
Description: partial 16S ribosomal RNA
Rfam family: Bacterial small subunit ribosomal RNA
Source: RNAcentral
GACGAACGCUGGCGGCGUGCUUAACACAUGCAAGUCGAACGGUGAAGCGCCUUCCUUUUUGGUGGGUGUGGAUGAGUGGCGAACGGGUGAGUAACACGUGAGUAACCUGCCCCCUUCUUCUGGAUAACCGCAUGAAAGUGUGGCUAAUACGGGAUAUUCUGGGUCUGUCGCAUGAUGGGUCUGUGAAAGAUAUUGUUUCGGUGGGGGAUGGGCUCGCGGCCUAUCAGCUUGUUGGUGGGGUGAUGGCCUACCAAGGCGGUGACGGGUAGCCGGCCUGAGGGGGUGGACGGUCACACGGGGGCUGAGACACGGCCCAGACUCCUACGGGAGGCAGCAGUGGGGAAUAGUGCACAGUGGGCGCAAGCCUGAUGCAGCGACGCCGCGUGAGGGAUGGAGGCCUUCGGGUUGUGAACCUCUUUCGCCAGUGAAGCAGGCCUGCCUCGUUUGUGGGUGGGUUGACGGUAGCUGGAUAAGAAGCGCCGGCUAACUACGUG